This is a long non-coding RNA of Sapajus apella (tufted capuchin), 1004 nucleotides long. RefSeq lists it as uncharacterized. NCBI's taxonomy places the organism in Eukaryota, Metazoa, Chordata, Mammalia, Primates, Cebidae. The record is from RefSeq and is a predicted model, not a curated record. The transcript is spliced from 3 exons.
AGAGCCUAUGGGGGCAACAGAACAGAGCGCUCAGUGGGAUUUGGGAUCUGGUUUGUAGAUGAGAUGGGGAGCCUGGUAGAGGCUGUUGGGAGUGGAGCGCCAGCACUGAGGUGGAAGGAGGUCUCUAAGAUGAAAGCUGUGGAGUGAUCCAAGCACGAUUCCAACAGGUAAGAGGAAGGCGAGCAAGCGGAACAGCUGCUAGCUUUUCUGUUAUUAGAGUGAGAGAGAAUCCUCAGAGCCUGUACUUUUUGCCCUCUUGGUUAGUAUUAUCUUAGAAGAAUGCAGUGUGCUCUGUGUUUCUUCCCUAGAGCCACAAUGAAGACACAGGUAAAAUAACGCAGAUGUCAGCAUCUCUACUCCCUGAUGUGGACCAAAGACACAGUUGUUGAUCGGAAGUGGAUUUUAUAUCUGGGCCCAGUGAGCCAACAACAGGUCCGAUACCUCCCUGCUGUGUGACUCGUGGGGCUUCGGCAUUGCUAUUCGGCCUGACACAGGUCCAGAUUAGUACUAUCUUGAGUAUCACUUUAUCAGCUGGAAGAAAAACAGCCUGACACCCCAAGGUUUGAUAAUUAGGAAGUACAGCCCCGGCGCACAUACCUGACCAUUUUAAAGCCGUCCUGAGGUCUGUGGUUAACGCCUCCAAUCGGUGCACGACAGUCAAUGCAUACGCUCUGUUCCAUCGGCCUGCCGCACUACAGUGAAGACAGAGGCCGCUCAGAAUCACUUCUGGAGCCAGUACCAUUUUAUGUACAAAUGCUGUCCUGCAAAUGACACCCCCUUAUCGCUGGAGGAUGUGAGCGGCCUCAGAUUGUCUGUUCCAGCAUUUCAGGGUCUCAAAGGAAGCAAUGGACAGAAACAAAUCAACAGGGGCUGCCGAUGGCCUCGGCAGAUCAGCAAGACAGCAAAUCUGUCAACCUGGCCCAGCUGUCGCAGCUGUCCCGUUCCAGUCACUGGUUAGCUCAUACCGGCCAGGUGCGCCCCGGAGGCCAUGGGCAUGGGACUUG